This 266-nucleotide long non-coding RNA is filed under the name Carica papaya (papaya). Its description in RNAcentral is "long non-coding RNA (CPAP_LNC003715)". Lineage: Eukaryota; Viridiplantae; Streptophyta; Magnoliopsida; Brassicales; Caricaceae. The record is from RNAcentral.
UUAAUAAUCAAGGAAUCACAAAACUAUUUAGAACAACCGUUUACUAUCAUUUUAACUUUAAUUUACCAUAACAAGGAAAAGAUUGAGGGAUUCUUAUACUGGGUCAAAGUCUAGAACACCGCCUUUUUCAACUUCGUGGUAAUUCUCGGCUAUUGGAUUUCUUGGGUUUUCUUGUAAAAUUUGAACACACACAUCAAAACAACGUGAAAAUACAUAACGAAUGGUGACAAAGGGUAGAAAAACUCACCAAGUUCGGGUUGGGGUUU